ACUCCUACGGGAGGCAGCAGUGGGGAAUAUUGCACAAUGGGGGAAACCCUGAUGCAGCCAUGCCGCGUGUGUGAAGAAGGCCUUCGGGUUGUAAAGCACUUUCAGUAGGGAGGAAGGUAGUGUAGUUAACACCUGCAUUAUUUGACGUUACCUACAGAAGAAGCACCGGCUAACUCCGUGCCAGCAGCCGCGGUAAUACGGAGGGUGCGAGCGUUAUCCGGAUUUAUUGGGUUUAAAGGGUCCGUAGGCGGGUUAAUAAGUCAGUGGUGAAAUCCCAUCGCUUAACGAUGGAACUGCCAUUGAUACUGUUAGUCUUGAAUGAGGGUGCAGUGGUUGGAAUGUGUAGUGUAGCGGUGAAAUGCAUAGAUAUUACACAGAACACCGAUUGCGAAGGCAGAUCACUAACCCUAAAUUGACGCUGAGGGACGAAAGCGUGGGGAGCGAACAGGAUUAGAUACCCUGUAGACUGUC
RNAcentral lists this ribosomal RNA (471 nucleotides) under uncultured bacterium. RNAcentral describes it as "bacterial SSU rRNA". It matches the Rfam family "Bacterial small subunit ribosomal RNA", at positions 335 to 799 of the family's 1533-position model. The record is from RNAcentral.